AUACGUAGGUGGCGAGCGUUGUCCGGAUUUACUGGGCGUAAAGGGAGCGUAGGCGGAUUUUUAAGUGAGAUGUGAAAUACUCGGGCUUAACCUGAGUGCUGCAUUUCAAACUGGAAGUCUAGAGUGCAGGAGAGGAGAAGGGAAUUCCUAGUGUAGCGGUGAAAUGCGUAGAGAUUAGGAAGAACACCAGUGGCGAAGGCGCUUCUCUGGACUGUAACUGGCACUGAGGCAACGAAAGCGGUGGGGAGAC
This 250-nucleotide ribosomal RNA is filed under the name uncultured bacterium. RNAcentral describes it as "partial 16S ribosomal RNA". It matches the Rfam family "Bacterial small subunit ribosomal RNA", at positions 523 to 771 of the family's 1533-position model. The record is from RNAcentral.